CAAACACCAUUUAUAUUAAGUUAUCGGAAAGAUAGACUCUCCGCUGGGGAGAGCCAUUCAGGAACCGAGUUGCUUACAUGGGAAAAGAGACUCUUCCGAGCCCGAGCUUUUUUCGCUAAACAGUCAGCUCGAGUAUUAAAACUACGAGGAAGAAAACGAAUACUAAAAGAAGGGAAAAAACAACGAAGAGACCGGAAAGAGGCCAAUUCUGCUGCAAAAGUUGGC
Molecule: long non-coding RNA, 225 nt
Filed under: Arabidopsis lyrata
Lineage: Eukaryota; Viridiplantae; Streptophyta; Magnoliopsida; Brassicales; Brassicaceae
Description: long non-coding RNA (ALYR_LNC002033)
Source: RNAcentral